UACGUAGGAGGCAAGCGUUAUCCGGAGUUACUGGGCGUAAAGCGCGUGUAGGCGGAUUGGUAAGUGGUUCGUGAAAUAUCCGGGCUAAACUCGGAGGGGACGAAUCAGACUGCUAGUCUGGAGGCGGGUAGAGGGGUGCGGAAUUCCGGGUGUAGCGGUGAAAUGUGUAGAUAUCCGGAGGAACACCAGAGGUGCAGACGGCGCCCUGGGCCCGACCUGACGCUGAGACGCGAAAGCUUGGGGAGCGAACGGG
RNAcentral lists this ribosomal RNA (253 nucleotides) under uncultured bacterium. Its description in RNAcentral is "partial 16S ribosomal RNA". It matches the Rfam family "Bacterial small subunit ribosomal RNA", at positions 524 to 776 of the family's 1533-position model. The record is from RNAcentral.